This 395-nucleotide ribosomal RNA is filed under the name uncultured bacterium. Its description in RNAcentral is "partial 16S ribosomal RNA". It matches the Rfam family "Bacterial small subunit ribosomal RNA", at positions 523 to 916 of the family's 1533-position model. The record is from RNAcentral.
AUACGUAGGGGGCAAGCGUUAUCCGGAUUUACUGGGUGUAAAGGGAGCGUAGACGGUGUGACAAGUCUGAUGUGAAAACCCGGGGCUCAACUCCGGGAUUGCAUUGGAAACUGCCAUACUUGAGUGCAGGAGAGGUAAGCGGAAUUCCUAGUGUAGCGGUGAAAUGCGUAGAUAUUAGGAGGAACACCGGCGGCGAAGGCGGCUUACUGGACUGUAACUGACGUUGAGGCUCGAAAGCGUGGGGAGCAAACAGGAUUAGAUACCCUGGUAGUCCACGCGGUAAACGAUGAAUACUAGGUGUUGGGGGUCUAUAGACCCUCGGUGCCGCAGCAAACGCAAUAAGUAUUCCACCUGGGGAGUACGUUCGCAAGAAUGAAACUCAAAGGAAUUGACGG